RNAcentral lists this ribosomal RNA (253 nucleotides) under uncultured bacterium. RNAcentral describes it as "partial 16S ribosomal RNA". It matches the Rfam family "Bacterial small subunit ribosomal RNA", at positions 524 to 776 of the family's 1533-position model. The record is from RNAcentral.
UACGUAGGGUGCGAGCGUUGUCCGGAAUUACUGGGCGUAAAGAGCUUGUAGGUGGUUUGUCGCGUUGUUCGUGAAAUCUCACGGCUCAACUGUGAGCGUGCGAGCGAUACGGGCAGACUAGAGUACUGCAGGGGAGACUGGAAUUCCUGGUGUAGCGGUGGAAUGCGCAGAUAUCAGGAGGAACACCGGUGGCGAAGGCGGGUCUCUGGGCCGAUACUGACGCUGAGGAGCGAAAGCAUGGGUAGCGAACAGG